RNAcentral lists this unclassified non-coding RNA (376 nucleotides) under uncultured fungus. RNAcentral describes it as "sequence contains ITS1, 5.8S rRNA gene, ITS2". The stretch from base 265 to 376 matches the Rfam family "5.8S ribosomal RNA", at positions 1 to 112 of the family's 154-position model. Lineage: Eukaryota; Fungi. The record is from RNAcentral.
UCAUUUAGAGGAAGUAAAAGUNGUAACAAGGUUUCCGUAGGUGAACCUGCGGAAGGAUCAUUACNGAAUNGUCAACAAGAGUUGUUGCUGGUCCUCAAACGGGGGCAUGUGCACGCUCUGUUAACACAUCCAUUCACACCCUGUGCACCCUCUGUANNUCUGNGGUUGGGGGACCUGUCCUCCUGCUGUGGUUCUGCAUCNNNACACACACACACUGUAACAAAGUCUCAUGGAAUGUAUGUCGCGUUUAACGCAAUACAAUACAACUUUCAGCAACGGAUCUCUUGGCUCUCGCAUCGAUGAAGAACGCAGCGAAAUGCGAUAAGUAAUGUGAAUUGCAGAAUUCAGUGAAUCAUNGAAUCUUUGAACGCACCUU